This 550-nucleotide ribosomal RNA is filed under the name uncultured bacterium. RNAcentral's name for it is "bacterial SSU rRNA". It matches the Rfam family "Bacterial small subunit ribosomal RNA", at positions 355 to 896 of the family's 1533-position model. The record is from RNAcentral.
UAGGGAAUCUUCCACAAUGGGCGAAAGCCUGAUGGAGCAACGCCGCGUGUGUGAUGAAGGCUUUAGGGUCGUAAAGCACUGUUGUAUGGGAAGAAAUGCUAGAAUAGGGAAUGAUUCUAGUUCGACGGUACCAUACCAGAAAGGGACGGCUAAAUACGUGCCAGCAGCCGCGGUAAUACGUAUGUCCCGAGCGUUAUCCGGAUUUAUUGGGCGUAAAGCGAGCGCAGACGGUUGAUUAAGUCUGAUGUGAAAGCCCGGAGCUCAACUCCGGAAUGGCAUUGGAAACUGGUUAACUUGAGUGUUGUAGAGGUAAGUGGAACUCCAUGUGCAGCGGUGGAAUGCGUAGAUAUAUGGAAGAACACCAGUGGCGAAGGCGGCUUACUGGACAACAACUGACGUUGAGGCUCGAAAGUGUGGGUAGCAAACAGGAUUAGAUACCCUGGUAGUCCACACCGUAAACGAUGAAUACUAGGUGUUAGGAGGUUUCCGCCUCUUAGUGCCGAAGCUAACGCAUUAAGUAUUCCGCCUGGGGAGUACGACCGCAAGGUUG